GCUGGGAGAUGUAGUUCCUGACUCUACCUGGACCGGAAGUGACGUUAGGUGGGAGAGAACAAGCCGAGGUGCAAACGCGCGCGGGACGCUCCGGCUCUGCCUGGCUCGCGCGGGGCCGUUGGAGCCUCUCCCGGGGCCGGAGAAGGGUGUGUAACUGAGAUCAGGGCUCUUAUCAUACUGAGCGUGGCCCUGUUCUGCCAGGUGCUGAAGAGACCCCGAGAUCUGGGCCUUGUUCUGCCAGGCGCUGCGGAGACCCCAACUGAGAUCUGGACCCUGUUCUGCCAGGCACUGAAGACACCCAAGAUGAGGAAACUGAAGAUCAGAGAGCUGAAGUAAUUUGCUCAAGUUUGCAUGGAGAAUCUGGGACAAAACUUGGAACUGAACCCAGAUUGUUUCAGGUCUUCCCUCUCCCCUUAUCCACAAGCCCAGCAUGUGUGUGUACAGUGUUGUUCUGGUCUGUGUUUGCCUUGCAUUGGCUUCCAAGGGAGGCUGUGGAAUUUUCAUCACUGGAGAUUUUUAAGACCAGGUUAGAGAUCCACCAGUCUGGGAAUGUCUAGGGAUACUUGGUUCUGCCUCAUCACAGGAUGCUGGAGUAGACGACCUCUCAAGAUGCCUUCCAGGUCUACACUGAAAUAAUUCUCUCUUGUGCUGUGUCCUGUUCUAUGCUGAGCUAUUUUGCAUGGUGCCUUUUGGAACUAUGAUGCACCAUGUUGUGUUGCAUAGUUUUAUGAUGCGUUGUUUUGCCUUAGCUUGUUUGGUGUCUGUGUUA
Long non-coding RNA from Gopherus flavomarginatus (Mexican gopher tortoise), 769 nucleotides. RefSeq lists it as uncharacterized. Lineage: Eukaryota; Metazoa; Chordata; Testudines; Testudinidae. The transcript has 3 exons. The record is from RefSeq and is a predicted model, not a curated record.